GAUGAACGCUGGCGGCGUGCCUAAUACAUGCAAGUCGAGCGAACAGACGAGGAGCUUGCUCCUCUGACGUUAGCGGCGGACGGGUGAGUAACACGUGGAUAACCUACCUAUAAGACUGGGAUAACUUCGGGAAACCGGAGCUAAUACCGGAUAAUAUAUUGAACCGCAUGGUUCAAUAGUGAAAGACGGUUUUGCUGUCACUUAUAGAUGGAUCCGCGCCGCAUUAGCUAGUUGGUAAGGUAACGGCUUACCAAGGCAACGAUGCGUAGCCGACCUGAGAGGGGGAUCGGCCACCAUGGACCUGAGACACGGUCCAGACUCAUACGGGAGGCAGCAGUAGGGAAUCUCCGCAAUGGGCGAAAGCUUGACGGAGCAACGCCGCGUGAGUGAUGAAGGUCUUCGGAUCGUAAAACUCUGUUAUUAGGGAAGAACAAAUGUGUAAGUAACUAUGCACGUCUUGACGGUACCUAAUCAGAAAGCCACGGCUAACUACGUG
This 496-nucleotide ribosomal RNA is filed under the name uncultured bacterium. Its description in RNAcentral is "partial 16S ribosomal RNA". It matches the Rfam family "Bacterial small subunit ribosomal RNA", at positions 28 to 507 of the family's 1533-position model. The record is from RNAcentral.